CCCUUUUUUCUAUUCUCUUCUUCUUAUCUCGAAACCCUAGCCCUUCUUUCUUUUUUCGUCGCUGUCGGUAUCCCCUUGGUGCGGUGGCAAGACGGUCGCUGGUGCUCUCUUUUCCCUCCUCUCUUCUUCUCUUUUUUCUCUUCUCUCCUAUUUCUCUCCUUUUUUCUUCUUGUUUCGUUUAUUUAGGGAGGGGGAAUUGUUUGAAAAAUAAAGGGAAAAGAGAAAGGGCGGAAACGGAGGUAGAUGCGAUGGUGGUAGUGACGGUGGGGGCAACGAACGUGGUGGCAGGGGAGGGUAUCAUGGGCCUAGGCCGUCUGCCGGAGUAGCUAGAGGUGGGGGAGCACGCCUGACUGCCGAUUGGGGCGUCAGACGCGAAGAACAGUGCACAGGUUUUAACAUACCCAGAAGGACCAAACUGUAGAUGAUGCAAAACUUUUGGGGUUAAAAUGUAAUCUUAGGAAAGUUAGGGGUCAAAAUGUAACUUCUAGAAAGUUUAGGGGAUAAAAUGUAAUUUAUGAAAAGUUAAGGGUUAAAAUGUAAUUUUAAGAAAGUUAGGGGUCAAAAUGUAAUUUAUAUUUUUAUAUUUUCCAAAAUUUUAUUAAUAUUA
Molecule: long non-coding RNA, 607 nt
Organism: Gossypium raimondii (Peruvian cotton)
Lineage: Eukaryota; Viridiplantae; Streptophyta; Magnoliopsida; Malvales; Malvaceae
Exons: 2
Source: RefSeq, a predicted model, not a curated record